This 508-nucleotide ribosomal RNA is filed under the name uncultured bacterium. RNAcentral describes it as "partial 16S ribosomal RNA". It matches the Rfam family "Bacterial small subunit ribosomal RNA", at positions 30 to 523 of the family's 1533-position model. The record is from RNAcentral.
AUUGAACGCUGGCGGCAUGCCUUACACAUGCAAGUCGAACGGCAGCGGGGGAGAAGCUUGCUUUUCCUGCCGGCGAGUGGCGAACGGGUGAGUAAUACAUCGGAACGUGCCCUGUAGUGGGGGAUAACUAGUCGAAAGAUUAGCUAAUACCGCAUACGACCUGAGGGUGAAAGUGGGGGACCGCAAGGCCUCAUGCUAUAGGAGCGGCCGAUGUCUGAUUAGCUAGUUGGUGGGGUAAAGGCCUACCAAGGCGACGAUCAGUAGCUGGUCUGAGAGGACGAUCAGCCACACUGGGACUGAGACACGGCCCAGACUCCUACGGGAGGCAGCAGUGGGGAAUUUUGGACAAUGGGCGAAAGCCUAAUCCAGCAAUGCCGCGUGUGUGAAGAAGGCCUUCGGGUUGUAAGGCACUUUUGUCCGGAAAGAAAUGGCUCUGGUUAAUACCUGGGGUCGAUGACGGUACCGGAAGAAUAAGGACCGGCUAACUACGUGCCAGCAGCCGCCGUAA